Molecule: long non-coding RNA, 843 nt
Organism: Alnus glutinosa
Lineage: Eukaryota; Viridiplantae; Streptophyta; Magnoliopsida; Fagales; Betulaceae
Exons: 4
Source: RefSeq, a predicted model, not a curated record
GGGGAGACUGUGAGAUCGGGAGAGAGGGGGGUUCGGUGGAUCCGUGAGUGGGUGACCCGACGGGGCGGUUCGUGGACCCGUGAGCCCAGGAGCUCCGAUCCUCCAUGAUCGGCGGCUGGGAUUGAAGUCCGGCGAUGGAGGAGCUCCGAUCGUGAAGUCCGUGCGACCCGCCAAACCCGCAACCCGAUCCUCUGAAGCCGUGAAUCAUUGAACCCGAGUGAGACCCGGUUCUCCAUGGCGGUUUUUCGGCGAUGUCCGGUGGUUCCAGCAGUGGUUUUCGGCGAGUUGUGACCUGUGUGCAGCAACCCAGACGAAGACCCGAAGCCCUUGACCCAGAACCCGACCCGUCAGACCCGAGAGGAAGACCCGGUUUUUAAGCAUUUUCCGGCGACUUUUCCGGCGGAAUCAGUGGCUUUUCCGGUGGAUUUUCUAUGAAAAUCCUUGGGGUUAAAGCUCGACCUUGACGCUAAUGGCAAGUCCAGAUGACCCAAUAUGAUGACGUCAUUUCUUGGUAUUGGCAUAGAUCUCGCAAAGAGCAAUAGAUCAUUGCGGACCGACCAAAUCUUUACUUUGUAUAGUAUGUUUCUUUUGGAGAAUUCAAGGUGUUGUAAAGAAUUAUUAAUAAAAAGGCUGAUGUGCCACUUUCUCAUUGGUUGGAAUAAAACCUCUAUUUUUUGUCAUGACCGAACAGAAGGGGCUCUCUUCAAAUAUUAGUAUACGGCCGGUGAUAUUAGUUAGAGGUCAAUUGGGAGAAAAGAAGACGAAUGUGUGCCUUUGAGGGCAAACGCUGCAUCUUUGGGGGCAGAGGUUGGAACCAUAAUUUGAAAUGAAGGGGGAUGAAAU